RNAcentral lists this ribosomal RNA (253 nucleotides) under uncultured bacterium. RNAcentral's name for it is "partial 16S ribosomal RNA". It matches the Rfam family "Bacterial small subunit ribosomal RNA", at positions 524 to 776 of the family's 1533-position model. The record is from RNAcentral.
UACGAACUGUGCAAACGUUAUUCGGAAUCACUGGGCUUAAAGGGUGCGUAGGCGGUCGCACAAGUCAGGUGUGAAAUCCCCCGGCUCAACCGGGGAACAGCGCUUGAAACUAGGUGACUAGAGUGAGGUAGGGGUACGCGGAACUUCUGGUGGAGCGGUGAAAUGUGUAGAUAUCAGAAGGAACGCCGGUGGCGAAAGCGGCGUACUGGGCCUUGUCUGACGCUGAGGCACGAAAGCUAGGGAAGUGAACGGG